AAGUUAAUAGUCGUAGACCCGAAACCGUGUGAUCUAUCCAUGGGCAGAGUGAAGUUGAAGUAAAAUUCAAUGGAGGCUCGAACCGGGUAGCGUUUAAAAGCUAUCGGAUGACCUGUGGAUAGGGGUGAAAAGCCAAACGAACACGGAGAUAGCUGGUUCUCCUCGAAAUAGCUUUAGGGCUAGCCUCUAGUGGAAACAUGAAAAGGGGGUAGAGCACUGACUGGUCGCGGGGCAUGCAUAUGUUACCAAGACCUAUCAAACUCCGAAUACCAUAUCAUGCACUAGGGAGUCAGACUAUGUGGGAUGAGCUUCAUAGUCGAAAGGGAAAGAGCCCAGACCAUCAGCUAAGGUCCCAAAAUUAUAGUUAAGUGGGAAAGGAUGUGGAGUUACUGAGACAACUAGGAUGUUGGCUUAGAAGCAGCCACUCAUUCAAAGAGUGCGUAAUAGCUCACUAGUCAAGUGACUCUGCGCCGAAGAUAACCGGGGCUAAACUAUAUACCGAAGCUAUGGAACGUUAAACGUUGGUAGAGGAGCAAUGUAUGGAGGACGAAGCAGAAGCCGUAAGGCACUGUGGACACCAUACAAGAGAGAAUGCUGGCAUGAGUAGCGAGAGGUGAGUGAGAAUCUCACCCGUCGAAAACCCAAGGAUUCCUGAGCAAGGCUCGUCCACUCAGGGUAAGUCGGGACCUAAGGCGAGGCUGAAAAGCGUAGUCGAUGGACAACAGGUUGAAAUUCCUGUACCGAUACAAUCGCAAUAAAGGAAGUGGGGACGCAGGAGGAAAAUAAGAGCGCCCAGUUGGUGAGGCGUGCAAGCGCAAAGUCUGGAAAGUAGGCAAAUCCGCUUUCCAAUAAGGAUGAAGCGUGAUGCGGAUCGAAAACAAGUAGAGAAGCUUAUGAAUCCACACUGCCAAGAAAAGCCACUACAAGAGAAGUAUCGCCCGUACCGUAAACCGACACAGGUAGGUGAGGAGAGAAUCCUAAGACGAGCGGAAAAACCUUUGUUAAGGAACUCGGCAAAAUGACCCCGUAACUUCGGGAGAAGGGGAGCCCCUGUAAAAGGGGGCCGCAGUGAAAAGGCCCAAGCGACUGUUUACCAAAAACACAAGUUUCUGCGAAGUCGAAAGACGAAGUAUAGGAGCUGACACCUGCCCGGUGCUGGAAGGUUAAGGGAAAAAGUUAGCGCAAGCGAAGCUUAGAACUGAAGCCCCAGUAAACGGCGGCCGUAACUAUAACGGUCCUAAGGUAGCGAAAUUCCUUGUCGGGUAAGUUCCGACCCGCACGAAAGGUGUAACGAUUUGGGCACUGUCUCAACAAAGGAUCCGGUGAAAUUGUAGUAGCGGUAAAGAUGCCGCUUACCCACGACAGGACGGAAAGACCCCGUGGAGCUUUACUGUAGGCUGAGAUUGAAUUUUGGGAUUAAAUGUACAGAAUAGGUGGGAGGCAGAGAAAUAGGUACGCCAGUAUCUAUGGAGCCACCGUUGGGAUACCACUCUUUUAAUGCUAGAAUUCUAACCUACCCCCAUGAAUCUGGGGAAGGGACACUCUCAGUUGGACAGUUUGACUGGGGCGGUCGCCUCCGAAAGAGUAACGGAGGCGCUCAAAGGUUCCCUCAGCACGGAUGGAAAUCGUGCGAAGAGUGCAAAGGCAGAAGGGAGCUUAACUGCGAGACCAACAAGUCGAGCAGAUGCGAAAGCAGGACUUAGUGAUCCGGUGGUACCGAGUGGAAGGGCCAUCGCUCAACGGAUAAAAGCUACCCCGGGGAUAACAGGCUUAUCUCCCCCAAGAGUCCACAUCGACGGGGAGGUUUGGCACCUCGAUGUCGGCUCGUCUCAUCCUGGGGCUGAAGUAGGUCCCAAGGGUUGGGCUGUUCGCCCAUUAAAGAGGCACGCGAGCUGGGUUCAGAACGUCGCGAGACAGUUCGGUCCCUAUCCGUCGUGGGCGUAGGAAAUUUGAGAGGAGCUGUCCUUAGUACGAGAGGACCGGGAUGGACAAACCUCUGGUGCACCAGUUGUACUGCCAAGUGCAUAGCUGGGAAGCUAAGUUUGGAAGGGAUAAGAGCUGAAGGCAUCUAAGCCCGAAGCCCCCCUCGAGAUGAGAUUUCCCUCGCAAGAUAAGACCCCUAGAAGAAAAUUAGGUAGAUAGGCUCAAGGUGU
RNAcentral lists this ribosomal RNA (2153 nucleotides) under Peptoniphilus senegalensis JC140. RNAcentral's name for it is "bacterial LSU rRNA". It matches the Rfam family "Bacterial large subunit ribosomal RNA", at positions 697 to 2870 of the family's 2925-position model. The record is from RNAcentral. Lineage: Bacteria; Bacillati; Bacillota; Tissierellia; Tissierellales; Peptoniphilaceae.